UCCAGGGUAGCCUAGUGGACAUGGCAUCUGCCCGGUAAGCGGAACACUGUGUGUUCGAUUCCCAUCCCUGGAC
This 73-nucleotide transfer RNA is filed under the name Cordylochernes scorpioides. RNAcentral describes it as "tRNA-Thr". It matches the Rfam family "tRNA". From Rfam's summary of the family: Transfer RNA (tRNA) molecules are approximately 80 nucleotides in length. Their secondary structure includes four short double-helical elements and three loops (D, anti-codon, and T loops). The record is from RNAcentral. Lineage: Eukaryota; Metazoa; Arthropoda; Arachnida; Pseudoscorpiones; Chernetidae.